AUCAUAUAUGAAUAUAUUGAACAGUAUUAGUUCCAGUCCAGAUCUUUGUGGCACCCUGCUAUUUACCUUUGUACAUUGUGAAAACUGUCUAUUUAUUUCUACCUUUUGUUUCCUAUCUUUUAAUCAGUUACUGAUCCAUGAGGGGACCUUCCGUCUUCUCUCAUGACAUCUUACUUUGCUUAAGAGCCUUUGGUGAGGAACCUUGUCAAAGGCUUUCUGAAAAUCUAAGUACACUAUAUCCAUUGGAUCCCCCUUGUCGGCAUGCUUGUUGACCCACCUCAGGAGGUGCCUCUUGCUGCAUCAUUGCUAUAUUACCCAUGUGAGGUGGUGCUGUAGUUGCAUCAUGGUUACAAUUUCUCUCUCUGGUGAUGCAACUACAUGCACACGUUCUUUAGAUAUAUAUUAUACACACGUUCAUAUUUUCAUGACCAUAACCUGUAUACAUAUCUGCUAAUGGCCAUCAAUUUCAGAACAUUACAAGCUUUCAUAAAAGACCUUACUUGACAUGUUUUUGUACACCAUAACAUUACACACAACCAGUUGAGUCAGUUGCUUAUUCUUUGGGAUUCAGAGAUCCCCUGUUCUCCCCUAGAAGUGUCUGGACCCUGAUUGUCAUAGUCAAAUGUGAACAAGUUGUGAGAGCACUGGAAAAUGAAGUUAGUCUUUAGCAAAAGUAUUGUUUUUUCCUUAGCUUUCCUUAGUGAUAAAAGGAAUAUUUACUUAGUAGCAUGUGUUAAACAGGGACAGAACUAUAAGUAAGGCUGUGAGUUUGUCACAGAUUCUGUGACUUUCCAUGCGCUCCAUGAUUUCUGCAGCAGCAGGUGCGCCUGGCUCAGGGCAGCUCUGGCAGCUCCUGCACCCGGUGCACUGGCCACUGCUGGG
Dermochelys coriacea (leatherback sea turtle) is the source of this 882-nucleotide long non-coding RNA. RefSeq lists it as uncharacterized. The transcript is spliced from 3 exons. The record is from RefSeq and is a predicted model, not a curated record. NCBI's taxonomy places the organism in Eukaryota, Metazoa, Chordata, Testudines, Dermochelyidae.